Molecule: RNA transcript, 5128 nt
Organism: Prionailurus viverrinus (fishing cat)
Lineage: Eukaryota; Metazoa; Chordata; Mammalia; Carnivora; Felidae
Gene: OTUD1
Gene name: OTU deubiquitinase 1
Exons: 3
Source: RefSeq, a predicted model, not a curated record
GCCGGCGGCCGGUGGCCCUUCGGUCAUUUCUAUUCUAGGGGCACUGGGUCAUCGCGCCGGGCCGGCCCCCUCCCCCGGGCCCGGAGGGUGUGUCCCCCUCACAGGGGCUCGCCGCGCCUAUAAGGGGCCCGAGCGGCGGGCAGGGACAUGCAGCUCUACAGCAGCGUCUGCACCCACUACCCAGCCGGGGGACCGGGUCCCACGGCCGCAGCGCCCGCUCCUCCCGCCGCCGCCGCCGCCGCCGCCGCCGCCGCCGCCCCCUUCAAGGUCUCGCUGCAGCCCCCGGGCCCCGCCAGCGGCGAGCCAGAGCCCGAGACCGGUGAGUGCCAGCCUGCCGCGGCCGCCGAGCCCCGAGAAGCCGCCGCCGCCGCCGCCGCCCCCGCCGCCAAGAUGCCCGCCUUCUCCUCCUGCUUCGAGAUGGUGUCCGGGGCCGCCGCCCCCGCCGCGGCCGCCGCCGGCCCGCCCGGCGGGUCCUGCAAGCCGCCGCUGCCGCCGCACUACACGUCCACGGCGCAGAUCACGGUGCGGGCCCUGGGCGCCGACCGGCUCCUGCUGCACGGGCCCGAGCCCGGCGCCGCGGCGCCCGCCGCCCAGCGCGGCCGCUGCCUCCUGCUGGCCCCGGCGCCCGCCGCCCCGGUCCCGCCGCGCCGGGGCUCCUCGGCCUGGCUGCUGGAGGAGCUGCUGAGGCCCGACUGCCCCGAGCCUGCGGGCCUGGACGCGGCCCGCGAGGGCCCCGACAGAAACUUCCGACUGAGCGAGCACCGCCAGGCCCUGGCCGCCGCCAAGCACCGAGGCCCCGCGCCGCCCCCGGGGAGCCCGGAGCCCAGCCCCGGCCCGUGGGGCGAGGAGCACCCGGCGGACAGGAGCCUCCGGGGCUGGGAGAGGGCGGGCGACCGCAGCGACCCUCCCGCCGCGGACGAGGCACGGCGGCCCGACCCGGAGGCCGAGGCGCCCCCGGCGCGGGGCGGCGAGGCCGCCCAGAGCGGCGGGGCCGAGGCGGUGAUCGUCUCCAGGUCGGAUCCCAGAGACGAGAAACUGGCCCUGUACCUGGCGGAGGUGGAGAGGCAGGACAAGUACCUGCGACAGAGGAAUAAGUACCGUUUUCACAUCAUUCCCGACGGCAACUGCCUCUACCGGGCGGUCAGCAAGACGGUGUACGGGGACCAGAGCCUGCACCGAGAGCUGAGGGAACAGACGGUGCAUUACAUCGCCGAUCACCUUGACCACUUUAGCCCCCUGAUUGAGGGCGACGUGGGGGAGUUCAUCAUCGCUGCUGCUCAAGACGGGGCGUGGGCCGGGUACCCGGAGCUGCUGGCCAUGGGGCAGAUGCUGAAUGUGAAUAUACAUUUAACUACUGGAGGGAGGUUGGAGAGCCCCACGGUGUCUACCAUGAUUCACUAUUUGGGCCCAGAGGAUUCCCUAAGGCCUAGUAUUUGGCUCAGUUGGCUCAGUAAUGGACAUUAUGAUGCGGUGUUCGAUCACUCCUAUCCUAACCCAGAGUAUGACAGUUGGUGCAAACAGACUCAAGUGCAGAGAAAACGCGAUGAGGAACUUGCCAAAUCCAUGGCCAUAUCCCUGUCCAAAAUGUAUAUUGAACAAAAUGCAUGCUCUUGAAGUGGCUGAAAACCCACACCCUGGGAGAAUUGCAUACGUGAUUUGUGUCGGGAGAAUUAUGAACUCUAAUCAGGUGAAAUUUGAACCCUACUGAUGAUAGAAUAGGACUGAAGAAGCAGAAGAACACCGUGAGGAAAUUCUCAGCCGUCGCUUCACCGCCUUGGUCAUCCUGCCGGAAAGUGCCAGACCUGGGGGUGGGGAGGGGCGUUAACAAUUACAUUUUUUUUUUUUAACUUUAACUCUAAACAAUACUCCUAUCUCAAUAAACAGUAGAUGUCUGAAACAGAAACCUCAAACACGACUUAAUCCUACAGGGCUUUAGGACGGAAUUAGAAGAGCGAUUUAAGACGUAUGUUACACUUUUUUUUUUUUUAAGUUUAUUUAUUUAUUUUGAGAGAGAGAGCAUGAGCAGGGGAGGAGGAGAGAGGGGGAGAAAGAGAGGGAAUCCCGAGCAGGCUCUGCGCUGUCAGCCUAGGGCUCGAACUCAGGAACCACGAGACCACCACCACCCGAGCGGAAGUCAAGAGUCAGACCCUUAACUGACUGAGCCACCCAGGCGCCCCAACACUUUUCAAUAUAAAGUAGUUUUCUCGGACAGAUUUUUCAUUACCUUCCCAUAUUGUUGAUGGUGGCUGUUGGCAGAAGUCAGUACUGCUCAGAAUUGAGGCAAUUUGCAGAGAGAUGGCUAGACUAGUUUAGAAAGCGACAGGAACCUACAGAAAUAGACAGUGUGAUUUUAAUAGUUAAGAUAGUUAAGCGAAGCCUGUAACAGAGAGAAACUUCUCUUUCGCUUAACUGUUCCAAAGGGAGCAGUCCAGGCCGGCUGUGCUCCGCAGAGGACACAUUCCCCAGGACACGGUCACGAUGUGCAAGAUCCAAGCUGGGCCACCACGGUGUCUGGAUCGUAGCUCAGAGAAACAGCACACACCCUGAGGUAGCACCCUUCGCUUCUGCUCUUGUCUGUUGGCCCGAAUUUCAUCAUAUGGCCUUAUCUAACUGGCAAAUACCAUCCAGACUGUUCCCAAGAGGAAGGGUAAAUGGGUUUUGGCAGAAAAAUAGCAAUCUUUUCCAAAUCUUUUUUUGACAGGAAUGGUUUAGGGUUACAAUAUCUUUAGGAAGAAAAUUAUAAUAAGGCAGUGUCUGGGAAUAAAAUAUGCAUGAACUUGCUUCACUGAAUUAAUAGUGGCUGCCACGGAGGGCUCCUUAUCAGCUCUCCCACAAUGUGUUUGCCACCGGUUAAAUAUAUACGUGUGCAAAGCCUUCCUUGUUUUAAGAAGGCUGCUAUUUUUCUAUUUCCCUUCCAUUCUUAAUUGUUUUGUAGGAUGUCGGAAAUAUCUUGAAAAUCUGGCCUUCAACACACGUCCUGGGUCUCUUCAGAGAGAACAAUAUAUAAAACUUUUCCCUCUUAUGUUUUCAUAGAUCUUGCUUCUCUGGGAUAUUGCUGGUUUUACUUCUCUCCCUUUCUCUACUUUCUAGUUCUUUUUUAUUUAUAAUUCCUGCCUGGUUGUCCUUUAGAAAGUUUUCUGUGCUUAAAAUAAGGUGAUCUUUACUCAUUUUUACUAAUUUACUAGUUUUACUAAUUUGCUCAGUCUUUAAAAGAAAACGUCUAAACCACACCUAAAGAAGGGGGAAGAACUCACACCAUUAGUGGGUACUUAGUGGACUAGAGGCUCCAUAUAAGUGUCAUAUUUAAAAUGUAAGGAUGAGGCUUACCCUCUUGUAAUUCUUAAUCACUUUCUUAAGGUUAAUAAGAAUCAUCAUAAAUGGGUCAGAGCCGCCAGCAGGAAGCAUAACCCAUCCCAAGAGAUGAUCACGAACGUUCUUGUUGAGAUGGGCGGUCGUCCGGCUGAGUCAGGAGAGCUGUACUAUAAGCAAAGCCUUGUGAGGGGUUCAUCAAAAGAACGUAUUGUCCCAAGAGAAGGAUAGUGCUCUGUGUGAUGUCUAGAGAACAAAGAACCAAGGAAGAAUAUUGGUCAAUGUGUCUCUGUCCAUCUAGGCGAGAAGGUGUCCUGGGCAAGCCACAGUAAUAUGCUGACUAGAUGAGAGAAAUAAAGGAAAACACUUCUUGGAGCGUUUGGUCCCAUUGAUUUCACAAUCGUAAGUUAAAUUCGGUGCUUUACCUGCUUUCCUCAUGGACCCCUCGGGAUAAUCGCACGCAGUAGUGUGGAGCCACUGCCUGCACUCCGAUCUGAGAAUACUGGCUGCUCAGGCUUCGCCUCUCCCUGCCUGCCACACCCGACCCGAGGCGGAUUUCUUUCGGGGGAAAAUAGACCAGAUCAGGAGAAAAGGCCUCCGGGACUCUCAGUUGGGAUCCUCAGGAAAGCAGGCACGCAGAGGGAAGCCACACUGUACACAUAUACCAAACAGCUUCCGUCUCAGAAAUACCAAUGCCAUCGCUCGCCGGGCAUUUAAUAUCGUCUCUAACAUGAACGCGAGACCCCAAUAAUUGACGGAGGAACAGCGGAUGAGAAGGAAAGAGAAAGGAAAGGAUGCAGUGAACAGAAGAAAAUCGAAGAGGAGAAAAAAAAGUGAGUGAAUCUCUAAUUGAUCUCUUCCGAGAAAUAAGAUCUUGGAUCCUGGAGAACAGAGUGCUGCUAUUUUUAAAAAGAAGUCUUGUAAAUUAAAAAUAGCAUAGCUGAUGUUAAAUAUUCAGUAGAAGUUUGGAAGAUAAAGUGGAGGAAAUCUCUCAGAAAGUGGUACAAGGAGACAUGGAAUGAAAAAUAGAGACCCGAUAAGAAAAUGAGGAAACUAAUCUAUGAAGCCCAACAUUUGACUAAUAGGUAUUCCAGAGAUAGAACGAAGACAAUGGGUGAGAAAGAAAGGUUAUACUAAUGAUUUCCCAGAGCUCAAGGAUAGCAACCUCUAGGUUGUAAGGUCCCACAGGAUGUCCACAGUGUCAUCACGGACGGCCAUAUAGGUUGUGUCUGUGAAUGUUAUGGGAAUAGUAUUCCCCAGAGUGGUGCAGUGCACAACAUGUACAACUGUGUGUGGCAGCCCAAUGAAUGCAACCCAUGCCAUGUUAUUUUGAAUAGCUAUUUCAAAGUAUUUGGUAUUAAAAAAAUAGCCUCAUUGCUUUCGAGGAGAAAACGAAGUCAUUUCUCAACAGAAGAACUCAACAGAUUCUCAACUAAGACUUCUCAACAGAAACAUAACCAGGAGACCAUCGAACGAUGCUUUGCAAAUUCAGAAGGAAAAUGAUUUCGAAGCUACAAUUCUAUACCCAGCCAAAUCAGCAUUCUUAAUUGUAAACAGCAGAAUCUAUACGGUUGAUGUAAGCAGAUAAGAAGUUUAUUGACGUUACAUUGUUUGGGUUGUUUAUGGGCUUUUCUGGUAAGAGAAUGCAGGCUUGCACACCAUGUUGCCAGGACCCACACCCAAAGACCAUCGUGGGGACUGUACCUGAGAAAACAUCCACACUACCACACUUCUCCGGAUACCACAGCUUGCAGCAAUGAUGAGUCAGCUCUGUAUCGAGCCAUCCCUCCCCCACAGAGUAGAUCGCCGUCUCCAUAAU